UAUAGGGGGUGCAAACGUUGCUCGGAAUCAUUGGGCGUAAAGCGCACGUAGGCGGUUCGUUAUGUCGGAUGUGAAAGCCCUUGGCUUAACCGAGGAAGUGCAUCCGAAACUGGCGAGCUAGAGUACGAAAGAGGAUCGCGGAAUUCCCGGUGUAGAGGUGAAAUUCGUAGAUAUCGGGAGGAACACCGGUGGCGAAGGCGGCGAUCUGGGUCGAUACUGACGCUGAGGUGCGAAAGCGUGGGGAGCAAACAGG
Molecule: ribosomal RNA, 253 nt
Filed under: uncultured bacterium
Lineage: Bacteria
Description: partial 16S ribosomal RNA
Rfam family: Bacterial small subunit ribosomal RNA
Source: RNAcentral